This 1754-nucleotide long non-coding RNA is filed under the name Olea europaea subsp. europaea. The record is from RNAcentral. Lineage: Eukaryota; Viridiplantae; Streptophyta; Magnoliopsida; Lamiales; Oleaceae.
UUUGGUGGUUUGACUCUAUAGUAUCAAGUUUUGGCUUGAACCUUGGCAACCUUAGCUGAUACAGCCCAUCCUUAAGCAUUCCUUGCAGUAGAGUCCUCUUCGUUUGCAGAUCCUUAACAAUACAACAAUCAGGAAAAAAUUCCAUAAAUACAUUGUUAUCACUUGUAAGUUGAGAAACACUAACUAAAUUCUUUUUAAUUGAAGGCACAUGCAAUACUUUGUUUAGUGUAAGAGACUUAUCAUCAACUGUGGGAACAUUUCCUUUUCCAAUAUGUGCAAUGUGUAAUGACUUCCCAUCACCAACUAUCAAUUUUUCCUUACCUUCAUAUUUCUUGACUGUAUACAGAUUACCUUUGUCGGAUGUUACAUGAUUGCUUGCACCGGAAUCUGCAAACCAGGCUGGAUCUUCAACAGUUCUUGGUGAAGCCACAUAUGCAGAAGGAGCUGGGCUGUUGUUCUGAUGGUUUUGAUUACUUGGUCUGCUGCCCAUGUAUCUGUCAUCGUACCUGUUAAAACACCAGCUGGCUGAGUGGUUGUUGAGUCCACAGAUUUGGCAAGGGCCUUUAAUUUCAUUUUGCCUGCCUACUCUACCUCUACCUCUCGUUCUCCCUCUGAAAUUUAAGGAUCUACCUCUGUUGGUACCUCUAAAAAUUCUGCCACCACCUGAGCUAGCUCUUUGGGCCAGUUGAACACUUGAUUGACCAACAUUCAGUGAUGCAAAGUUGUCCCUGACUUGACUCAAAUACUCAAGCCUACUUUCAAAUGUCAUCAGCACAGAAGACAGCUCAUGCCAGGAUAUAUUAUCCCUGCUGUUAACUUGUACCACUAUAGGUGUGUAUUCUUCAUCCAACCCUGAUAAAACCUGAGUUACAAGAUCACUGUGGUCAAUAGCUUUCCCAGCUAUUUCCAGAUUAUCAGCCAGUUGUUUGACGGUGGUGAGGUAUUGAUCCAUAGACAUAGUGCCUUUCCUCAUCCUUUGUAGUUCUCCAGUGAGAAACACGACCCUUGACUUGUUCAGUACACCAUAGCUUUCCUCCACUGCAGUCCAUAACUUGCUUGAACUGUUGCAUCCCAUGACUCUCAUUGCUAUUUCUGGGGUCAUGGAUGAGUAUAACCACCCAAUCAACAGUUGAUCAGUUGAGAUCCACCUAUUAUACUCAGGAUUCUGAGUCAUUUCUACAGCUUCUCCUUGACCAGUAGUGGUUUGAGUGGCUAGGAAUUCUGGUGGACACUGCUUUGUCCCCAGCAAAUAUCCCUCUAGGUUAUGCCCUUUGAUUAUUGGCAUAAUCAUAUUUUUCCAUAGCAAGUAGUUGUUCCUGUCGAGUUUUACUUAUGGAGUCUGAGUAAGGUUCAUUCCAAAUGGUGAACUCUGAUUUGCAGCAACUUGGGUGAAUGAUGCUGUGCUUGAAUCAAUUGGAGCUGGAUGACUUCCUGAACCGGUGUUAGCCAUAUUGGCUCUGAUACCAAGUAAAGAAUUGAACUGAUAUUUUUGUAUUUGAAUAUUUUACUUUUCUUUACAUCCAACAUAUAUAUACAGAGAUACUAUACAAGCAAUUACAUACAAAGAAUAUUCUAGACUUCUAAAACAAAUAAUUCCAGGUGGCUAACGGUUUCACAUGCAUUUCCUGAAAAUCAGGAUAUGCACCAGCACAUACACCAGCUUACACAAUGGAUACAAGAUGCUUUUUGUUGGUUGGUUGUGCUGUCAUGUUGGCUGAAAUAUUCUAACAGGUGCAAAUAAAUAAUAAAAUUAC